UAACCUGCCUCUUAGCGGGGGAUAACUAUUGGAAACGAUAGCUAAUACCGCAUAAAAGUCGACAUUGCAUGAUGUUGACUUGGAAGGUGCAAUUGCAUCACUAAGAGAUGGACCUGCGUUGUAUUAGCUAGUUGGUGAGGUAACGGCUCACCAAGGCGACGAUACAUAGCCGACCUGAGAGGGUGAUCGGCCACACUGGGACUGAGACACGGCCCAG
This 217-nucleotide ribosomal RNA is filed under the name uncultured bacterium. Its description in RNAcentral is "partial 16S ribosomal RNA". It matches the Rfam family "Bacterial small subunit ribosomal RNA", at positions 122 to 334 of the family's 1533-position model. The record is from RNAcentral.